RNAcentral lists this small RNA (79 nucleotides) under Flavobacterium sp. KMS. Its description in RNAcentral is "Flavo-1 RNA". It matches the Rfam family "Flavo-1 RNA". The record is from Rfam by way of RNAcentral. Lineage: Bacteria; Pseudomonadati; Bacteroidota; Flavobacteriia; Flavobacteriales; Flavobacteriaceae.
UUUUAGCCCAGAUAAAAGCGGUAUCCUUUUGUUUUUUUCUUUAAAAAACAAAAGAUAUAAGCGGAUAGCUGGAAAUAGC